AUCACCCUAUGCCAUAUUUUCAAUGUUUGAUUAAACGAUUAACAAUCUGUAGAACAGUUGUCGUGUUGUCUCUUUAACGCAUUCCCCGUUUUCAUUUCGAAUUUCAUUUGCUUCUUUUCUUGUCGGUUAGAGAAGCGGUAGGGGCAUCUAAUAUUUUUUUUUGUGUGUAAUUUUUUACCGUUUAUUUUGUUUUCCGAGAUAGUUGAGUCAGAGACGUUUUGUAUCAAUAUACGUCUCUGAUUGAGUCAAAUCGAUAAAAGUGAUAUUUCAAGCGAGAACAAGUUCAAAUAAUUAUGACGUCUUGAAAGGCUCUUUUGUUUUGCCUUGACGCCUAAAUUAGUUCUG
This 345-nucleotide long non-coding RNA is filed under the name Mytilus galloprovincialis (Mediterranean mussel). Lineage: Eukaryota; Metazoa; Mollusca; Bivalvia; Mytilida; Mytilidae. The record is from RNAcentral.